Molecule: non-coding RNA, 176 nt
Filed under: Anaerolineales bacterium
Lineage: Bacteria; Bacillati; Chloroflexota; Anaerolineae; Anaerolineales
Description: 6S RNA
Rfam family: 6S / SsrS RNA
About the family: E. coli 6S RNA was the first non coding RNA to be sequenced, but its function was unknown until recently. It consists of 184 nucleotides that fold into an extended hairpin structure with a large single-stranded internal bulge. The 6S RNA specifically associates with RNA polymerase holoenzyme containing the sigma70 specificity factor.
Source: RNAcentral
GUAACCCUGCCGUGUACGUGAUUGCUGCACAGGUUUUGAGCCAACACCUGUCAAAGAGGGUGCCUGUCUUCGGCGGGCAAUGCGGUAGCCUUCGGGCAAGGCAGAGCCGGCUGGGAGGGUGCCCACCUGCGAAAGCAGGUUCAAAACAUGCCAGCACGCGGCACGGCGGGGUUUUC